UUAGUGGCGGACUGGUGAGUAACGCGUGAGGAACCUGCCUUUCAGAGGGGGACAACAGUUGGAAACGACUGCUAAUACCGCAUGACGCAUUUUGAUCGCAUGGUCGAAAUGCCAAAGAUUUAUCGCUGAAAGAUGGCCUCGCGUCUGAUUAGCUAGUUGGUGAGGUAACGGCCCACCAAGGCGACGAUCAGUAGCCGGACUGAGAGGUUGACCGGCCACAUUGGGACUGAGAUACGGCCCAGACUCCUACGGGAGGCAGCAGUGGGGAAUAUUGGGCAAUGGGCGCAAGCCUGACCCAGCAACGCCGCGUGAAGGAAGAAGGCUUUCGGGUUGUAAACUUCUUUUAAGUGGGAAGAGUAGAAGACGGUACCACUUGAAUAAGCCACGGCUAACUACGUGCCAGCAGCCGCGGUAAUACGUAGGUGGCAAGCGUUGUCCGGAUUUACUGGGUGUAAAGGGCGUGCAGCCGGGCAUGCAAGUCAGAUGUGAAAUCUCAGGGCUUAACCCUGAAACUGCAUUUGAAACUGUAUGUCUUGAGUGCCGGAGAGGUAAUCGGAAUUCCUUGUGUAGCGGUGAAAUGCGUAGAUAUAAGGAAGAACACCAGUGGCGAAGGCGGAUUACUGGACGGUAACUGACGGUGAGGCGCGAAAGCGUGGGGAGCGAACAGGAUUAGAUACCCUGGUAGUCCACGCUGUAAACGAUGGAUACUAGGUGUGCGGGGACUGACCCCC
Molecule: ribosomal RNA, 731 nt
Filed under: uncultured bacterium
Lineage: Bacteria
Description: bacterial SSU rRNA
Rfam family: Bacterial small subunit ribosomal RNA
Source: RNAcentral